GGUUGCGGCCAUGGUCGCUGUCGCUGCAGAAACGCGGGGCGGCCUCUCCCCAUCCCCGUGUAGUUCUCCGGGCUGAACCGUUGGGCGCCUAUUUGCAGAAAAGGCAGCUCCUGAGCCUCAAGACAGACUCGGGGGCCAGGCGUGCGUGAAGCCCUGCUGCCGGCCUCGCAUGCCAAGCCAACUCCGAGCCCCACACCCGCCCGCGGGGAGCUGCCCUCGCCCAGGACCCUCUUGGCCCGCGCGGCCGCGGCCUCUUCUCCACGAUCCCGGCCCCCUGCCCCCUGCCCGGCUGGUUUUAUCGGGGAUCAUAAGGACAGUCACCACCUAACUAGGAGCAAAUCCCCAACAAUCGAGGAAACAGGGCGCUCCUGCCUUGCGCCCCCAGGCUGGCGUUGGGAGUUCUUUAGAGCCAGCGCUGCGGAGCCCCAGCACCCGGAACGUAGAGGUGAGUAAAAGGCACAGCAGGAAGCCUGGGAGAGAAAAAGCAGCUGCCCCUGCUCAGCCGCGCCCUACCCUGAGCCCAGCAGCCUUUGGGAUCAUCUGUCUUCUCUGCCCUGGAGGUUGGAGUAAGCUCCGGACCUCCUUGACCCUCACUGGAGCACUGGGGUCCCAGACGCUAUCCUCGGUUAUCUUAAAUCCAGAGGCUGUGGAGGCAUGGGGCAAAUUGUGCCCGCAGCCUGGGGCCUAGAGCUGCAUCUGUGCACCGGGCCUCCAGGAGCCCGGCUCAGUGGACGAAAUCUGGCAUGCUCGGACGUCACCCCACAGGCCUCACGCCUCAGAGGGACCCCGAAAGGUGAGUUGAUGACUGCAGAGUGAGUUUGUACCUUUUCGAACACCACCUGCCGGGGGUCCGAGCCCCCACCCCCAGUCUACAUCAGCCAAUCACAGCUCAUUGCAGGUGCUGCGCUUGUCACAUAGCUUUCUGCAAAC
This 930-nucleotide long non-coding RNA is filed under the name Pan troglodytes (chimpanzee). RNAcentral describes it as "long non-coding RNA NONPTRT007634". Lineage: Eukaryota; Metazoa; Chordata; Mammalia; Primates; Hominidae. The record is from RNAcentral.